RNAcentral lists this long non-coding RNA (16662 nucleotides) under Triticum aestivum (bread wheat). Its description in RNAcentral is "long non-coding RNA (TAES_LNC019789)". The stretch from base 888 to 969 matches the Rfam family "tRNA". The record is from RNAcentral. Lineage: Eukaryota; Viridiplantae; Streptophyta; Magnoliopsida; Poales; Poaceae.
UAACAUAGAGAUCCUGCCACCGGAAGUCCUCUGCUCCUACAGGCCGUUUCUCUCGGCAAGCCGGAAGGAUGAUAAGCCUUGCGGCGGUGCAGAGGUUCUGAAUCUCGACUUGGCGAUGCCCUCUAGCGGCGCUGCUAACCGAUUGCCCUCCUCCUAAACAGCCCGCGCGACGGGACCCGCAAAGUCGUAGUGUCAGUCAUACUAGUAGCAGUGCCAAUCAGAACUGCCUGACCAACUUUUUUCCUAUUUUGUGUGCUCGCUGUAUUCUUUUUGUGCCCCUUCGUGUCCCCUCCGUAUUCGCCGGUGCAUACUGCCCUGUAGUUUUUUUUCCCCACGGCCUUUCUGUGUUUAUGAUACGUUUACAGAUGUAAAAAACUGCAGCCAUUGCGGCUGUUGAACAGUGAAUGCAAUACCACAGAUUUGUAACUGUUGACCCAGUAAUGAACUCGUCUAGGCUGUAAGCUGUGUCGAAUUCCUUUUGGUGUCUUAACUGUAAUCGUACAUGACGCUGUGAAAUUGUACAUGAAACCUGUAAAGAAUUUCUUUCGAUUGCCUGGCGAGGUCAUAGCCGUCCCAACCUUUAACCAAACAUGUUAGUGCAAAUGAUGAGCAAACAUGGCAUGUGAUUCGAACAUUACUGGCUACGCACAAGUAGUUGAUCUCUUUGUUGCAGAAUUUUGUGAUCAACCUGUUUGGUGCAUGCGCUCCUGUAAACAUAGGAGUCCUGUGACGACGUUCCUUCUUUUUAUUUAAUCAUUCAUAAAUAAAGAAUUUUGCGGCACUAGUUUGGAAAUGGUGGUAGAAAUCCAGUAUACGUGUAUACAUUUUGGCAUUGGCCAUCAGGCGUACAAGUCCAUAUAAAAUUUUAAGUGAGUGUUGACAUCAAAGUCGAUAUGUCCGAGUGGUUAAGGAGACAGACUCGAAAUCUGUUGGGCUUUGCCUGCGCAGGUUCGAAUCCUGCUGUCGACGAUUCACUUUUUUUUUCUUUCUUUUGCAGUAACCUUUAUUGUCAACUGUCCCUUUAAAAAGAAAAAUUUGAAGUGUUUUUUUUCGGAAACUGUAAGAUUUUGUUGGUGCAAUCUUUGUAACUAUCUUCAUGUGCAAUGAAUUCCCAUAAAAAAAUGUUCAUGUACCGAACAAUGUGUCGAGUAAAAAUACAGGGUCUUGUAAGGAACAGUGUGUCGUCGAAUCCUGCUGUUGGCGAUUCAACCUUUUUUUUUUUUGCUUCUGCUUCUUUGUGGAUUUUGUCAUGUGCUACUGUCAGAUUUUUUUGAUGAAAUGAACGGUGCGUUACGUCAGUUAAUGUGCAGUGCAGUAGCUGGAGUAAGAUAUAGGCCAUUGGCUUCCUGAGAUUGGGCUACCAAUGACCCUCAACUAUCUAAGUUGCACGUUUGGAAAUCAUAGUGGAGACUUGCCUCAAAGGUAGGUACUUCAGCUGUCUCCCGAAUUUAUUGGGAUGGGCAGCAGCUGAAGCUGAAGCUCUCCUUUAGGAGAGGUUUUCACUGACAGGGUCAUGGAGCUAUGGUUUCAGGCAGUGGACAUUGCCUCUUCUUUGUCUUAACCGAGGAAUAGCGUCGUUUGGAAGCUGGAUGACUCUGGGGCCUAUACUUCACAAUCUUUAUACGCUGUCAUCAACUUUAGGGGUUCGGGAUUUACCCUGUUUUUUGUUUAUUAUUGUUCCUGCUGUUUGGCAAUUACAAGCCCCUCCUUAGGAUGCAUGUUUUUCUUUGGUUUCGUUAUUACUUGCCCAUAACAAAACUGCUGACACGUGAUGACCUUUUAAAACGACAACACAUACCUAAUCACAGCUGCCCGUUAUGUUCUGAAACUGAAAACAGAGAACACUUGCUCUUUUCCUGUGGCAUUGCUCGCCUUUAUUGGAACUAGAAACCUCGCACGCCAUAUGGUCAGCCCUAGCGAACAUGUUCGCUGCCCAAUCCCGUUCUCGUGUGAACAACUGCCGCAUCUCCCUCUCCAAUGCACAGAAAGGCUCUCUGAGCGCCUCUGCAUACUUUGGGCAGAUGAGAGCGCUCUCGGAUGAGCUAGCUGCCGCCGGGAGUCUCAUAACUGAAGGAUAUCUUCUUUCUUUCAUCAUUGCAGGGCUUGACAUGGAUUACCAACCCUUGAUCUCUGAUGUUUUCCAAGUUUUCCAACACUUUCAAGCACUUGUUGAACGUCAAUUCGAUAGCAAAAUUCUUGCGGUCCAAUCUGAUUGGGACAGUGAGUAUGAGAAACUAGAUUUGUUUUUUCAAACCUUUGGUAUUUCUCAUCAUGUGUCAUGUCCCCAUGUGCAUCAGCAGAAUGGCUCAGCUGAGCGCAAACAUAGGCACAUAGCUGAGGUAGGCCUAGCCCUCCUUGCUGGCGCUUCCAUGCCUCUCAAAUUUUGGGAUGAGGCCUUUCUUACCGCAUUCCAUCUCAUUAACAUGCUUCCUAGUCGUGUUCUACAAAAUGAUACACCCAUGCAUAGACUACUCAAUACUCGACCAGAUUAUCACUCUCUUCGCGUGUUUGGAUGUGCUUGUUGGCCCAAUUUGCGUCCCUACAACAACUGCAAACUUCUGUUCCGUUCCAAACAAUGCGUUUUUCUUGGCUAUAGUGCUAAGCACAAAGGCGUUAAAUGCUUAGAUGUUCCUACUAGUCGAGUAUAUAUCUCUCGUGAUGUCGUCUUUGAUGAAAUCGUCUUUCCUUUCGCUCAUUUACACCCUAAUGCCGGUGCCUUGCUUCGCAAAGAAAUCCUUCUUUUACCCUCUCAUUUGACCGGUUUUCAGCAUAGGGAUGGCAAUUGUACUGAUCAUAUGACUAAUGCUUUAACCCUGAAAAAGAGCAUUGUGGUGAUGCAGGGUCAAAUCAGGAGGUAGCAGAAAAAAAUUGAGGACAAACGGUGAAGAAAACAGUCCAAACGGCCUCAAUUUCAUGUGUCCGCUACGUGCCAACCCUGCAGCCGGAUCCUCCUCGGGAUCGGCAACUGCAGAUCUGACAGCAUCCGCCCCGGGACCGAUGCAGCGGCCAAAGGCGCCACUCCUUCCAUCUGCGCACACGUCGCCUUGCGGGGACAGGCGAACCGACCGGUUCGAUGCGAUCCCACGUGUGGCAAAUUUUCGUGUUUUGACCCUUUUCUGAGACCUAUUCGAGAUCUGACCCUAGUUUGAAUUUUUUUUGAGAUCUGACCCUUUUGCUACCGCCAGGGUCCAUGGCGGUAGGGUGUAACAGCCUACCGCCAGGGACCUUGGCGGUAGGAAACAUCCCUACCGCCAAAUAGACUGGCGGUAGCCUGUACACCCCUACCGCCAAGGUGCUCAGCGGUAGGCACAAGCACGCACUGUGUUCAAUACUUAGGAGGAUUUUGGGGUAGGGCAUGCAACCCUACCGCCAGGGGCCUUGGCGGUAGGCUGUUAUGCCCUAGCGCAAUGUGUUGGAAAUAUGCCCUAGAGGCAAUAAUAAAUAGGUUAUUAUUAUAUUUCCUUGUUCAUGAUAAUCGUUUAUUAUCCAUGCUAGAAUUGUAUUGAUAGGAAACUCAGAUACAUGUGUGGAUACAUAGACAACACCAUGUCCCUAGUAAGCCUCUAGGAGACUAGCUCGUUGAUCAAUAGAUGGUUACGGUUUCCUGACCAUGGACAUUGGAUGUCGUUGAUAACGGGAUCAUAUCAUUAGGAGAAUGAUGUGAUGGACAAGACCCAAUCCUAAGCCUAGCACAAGAUCGUGUAGUUCGUUUGCUCAGAGCUUUUCUAAUGUCAAGUAUCACUUCCUUAGACCAUGAGAUUGUGCAACUCCCGGAUACCGUAGGAAUGCUUUGGGUGUACCAAACGUCACAACGUAACUGGGUGGCUAUAAAGGUGCACUACGGGUAUCUCCGAAAGUGUCUGUUGGGUUGGCACGAAUCGAGACUGGGAUUUGUCACUCCGUGUAAACGGAGAGGUAUCUCUGGGCCCACUCGGUAGGACAUCAUCAUUAUGUGCACAAUGUGACCAAGGAGUUGAUCACGGGAUGAUGUGAGUUACGGAACGAGUAAAGAGACUUGCCGGUAACGAGAUUGAACAAGGUAUAGGGAUACCGACGAUCGAAUCUCGGGCAAGUAACAUACCGAUGGACAAAGGGAAUUGCAUACGGGAUUGAUUGAAUCCCCGACAUCGUGGUUCAUCCGAUGAGAUCAUCGUGGAACAUGUGGGAGCCAACAUGGGUAUCCAGAUCCCGCUGUUGGUUAUUGACCGGAGAACGUCUCGGUCAUGUCUGCAUGGUUCCCGAACCCGUAGGGUCUACACGCUUAAGGUUCGAUGACGCUAGGGUUAUAGGGAAAGCAUGUACGUGGUUACCGAAUGUUGUUCGGAGUCCCGGAUGAGAUCCCGGACGUCACGAGGAGUUCCGGAAUGGUCCGGAGGUAAAGAUUUAUAUAUGGGAAGUCCUGUUUUGGUCACCGGAAAAGUUUCGGGUGAAAUCGGUAAUGUACCGGGACCACCGGGAGGGUCCCGGGGGUCCACCAAGUGGGGUCACCAGCCCCAGAAGGCUGCGUGGGCCAAGUGUGGGAGGGGACCAGCCCCAGGUGGGCUGGUGCGCCCCCCCACCAAGGCCCAAGGCGCAUGGGAGAGUGGGAGGGGGCAAACCCUAGGUCCAGAUGGGCCUUAGGGCCCAUCUAGUGGGGCGCCUCCCCCUCUCCUCCCCUUGGCCGCCCCCCUUGAUGGGAUCUAGGGCUGGCCGCCUCCUCUUGGGGGUGGAAACCCUAAGGGGGGCGCAGCCCCCUUCCCCCCUAUAUAUACUUGAGGUUUGGGCUGCCAUACACACACGAGAAAGUCUCCUUUUGGUGCUGCCCUACCCCUCUCCCUCCUCCUCCUCUCCCGCGGUGCUUGGCGAAGCCCUGCGGGAUUGCCACGCUCCUCCUCCACCACCAUGCCGUCGUGUUGCUGCUGGAUGGAGUCUUCCCCAACCUCUCCCUCUCUCCUUGCUGGAUCAAGGCGUGGGAGACGUCACCGGGCUGCACGUGUGUUGAACGCGGAGGCACCGUUCUUUCGGUGCUUAGAUCGGAAUCAACCGCGAUCUGAAUCGCUACGAGUACGACUCCCUCAUCCGCGUUCUUGCAACGCUUCCGCAUCGCGAUCUACAAGGGUAUGUAGAUUCACUCCCCUUCCCCUCGUUGCUAGAUUACUCCAUAGAUUGAUCUUGGUGAUGCGUAGAAAAUUUUGAAUUUCUGCUACGUUCCCCUACACAAUGGACCCUGGCGGUAGCAAAAGGGUCAGAUCUCGAUUUUUUUUAAACAAGGGUCAGAUCUCGAAUAGGUUUCAGAAAAGGGUCAAAACAUGAAAUUUAGCCCCGCGUGUCUAUGCGAGGCGCGCCAACCACCAAUCACGCGCGGGCGCUGAUCCUCGGCUGGAUGCGGAGGCGUGUGCGCUGGGUUUAGCAGCUAGAGCGCCAAGAUCUUCUGUGCCGCCCGCCUCCACGUCACGCCUUGGCCUGACCACAGAAGAUCCAACAUCUGCCACCAACAACAAAUCUGCUCCGGGAUCGCCGAGAACUCCUGUAGCAGACCAGUCUUCAGGAUCGUCUGUGAUAGUUUCUGAUGCAGUGGUGCAGCAAGUUCAAACCCCGCCGUGUGCAAGGUUAAGAGCGGGUGUAAUUCAACAUGUUAAUUAUAAAGUUAAGUUUGGUUUAACCUGCUUCACAGGAGAACCUAGUACGUUUCAGGAAGCAUGCAAAGAUGCAAGGUGGAGAAAAGCUAUGGAAGAAGAAUUCCAAGCACUUCAGGAAAAUAAAACCUGGCAUCUAGUUCCUUCAGAACAAGGUAAAAUUUUGAUUGAUUGCAAAUGGGUAUUCAGAAUAAAGAAAAAGUCAGAUGGUACCUUAGACAGAUAUAAGGCUAGACUUGUUGCAAAGGGAUUCAAACAGAGAUAUGACAUAGACUAUGAAGAUACGUUCAGUCCCGUUGUUAAAGCCGCCACUAUACGUCUUGUUUUGUCUAUUGCUGUAUCCAGAGGAUGGUGCCUUAGACAGCUAGAUGUGCAGAAUGCGUUCCUUCAUGGUGUCCUGGAAGAGGAAGUUUACAUGAAACAACCUCCUGGUUUUGAGGACAAAAGCAAACCUUUUCACAUAUGCAGGCUAGAUAAGUCUCUUUAUGGACUGAAACCGGCUCCUAGGGCAUGGUAUUCCCGGUUGAGUUCAAAGUUACAAGCGCUUGGUUUUGUUCCUUCAAAGUCUGACACAUCCUUGUUUAUUUAUAAUAAGUCACAUACUUCUAUUUUUGUGCUUAUUUAUGUUGAUGGCAUUAUUGUUACAAGCUCAUCAAAUGAAGCAGUGACAACCUUGUUGAAGGAUUUAAAUUCAGAGUUUGCUCUUAAGGACUUAGGAGACUUGCACUUCUUUCUUGGCAUAGAAGUUAAGAGAAAGAAGGAAGGUGGUCUUCAUCUGUCACAAGAAAAAUAUGCAACUGAUAUUUUGAACAGAGCUGGCUUGCAGGGUAGUAACUCCAUUAUCUAGCACAGAAAAGUUGUCUCUUGCAGAAGGAGAACUCCUGGAUCAGGAGAAUGGCACCAGGUACAGAGGUUUGGUUGGUGCACUUCAGUAUUUGACCUUGACUAGACUUGAUAUUUCUUUUGCUGUGAACAAAGUUUGUAAUUUCUUCAUGCACCUACAACAUCACAUUGGACAGCUGCCAAACGCAUACUAAGAUAUGUGAAGGGUACACUAGGGCUUGGUUUGACUUUCUGUAAGUCACCGUCCACAUUGGUUAGUGCUUUCUCUGACUCUGGUUGGGCAGGCUGUUUGGAUGAUAGAAGGUCUACAGGAGGAUUUGCCAUAUUCCUUGGACCCAAUUUAAUUUUAUGGUGUGCAAGGAAACAAGCUACAGUGUCAAGAUCAAGUACUGAAGCAGAGUAUAAAGCGUUGGCAAAUGCAACGGCAGAAAUUAUAUGGGUUAAGUCCAUGCUUAAAGAGCUUGGAAUACAUCAUUCUCCACCUCCAUGUCUUUGGUGUGAUAAUCUAGGUGCCACGUAUCUUUCAGCUAAUCCCGUUUUUCAUGCACGGACUAAGCAUAUUGAGAUUGAUUAUCAUUUUGUGAGGGAAAGAGUUGCAAGCAAAGAACUGGAGAUACGGUUUGUACAUUCAAAAGAUCAAGUUGCUGAUGGUUUUACAAAGGCGCUACCUACAAGGGCGCUUGAAGAAUUCAAGCGUAAUCUUAACUUAGUAAAGUUAUGAUUAUGGGAGGGUGUUAAACGUAUAGGUUCAGGAGAUGUGGCGCAACGGUUUAUCUGGCUGAUAUUGUUGUAACUAGAGAUAGUUUAGAUAUUUUCUUAUCUCUAUCUUAUACCUCCUGUAAUCUCCUAUACGGUUGAUCUCCAACAACCUUUUCUUGUAACCUAAACCACAAUAUCAAUAUAUAACAUGUGGGUGCUCAUGUAUGGUUAUUGAGACGCUUUGAUACAAUCUCACAUUCCUCGCCCUUCGUGCUACCCAAUUUCACACUAAGAAUCUCUUAAGUCAUGUUUAUAUACACUUGCUCAUUUGCUUGUGUGUUAAUUCAUUCUUCAAUCAGUCUUCAGAUUAGUUGAAGAAAAUUAUAUUGUUAGUAUUCAUUUAUCUUUCUUUCUUCUUCGGUGUUAUUCUGAAUAAUCAAUGUCUCUCUUCUCAGUUUUUUCAGUGUCUCUUUUUACCAUGUCAGUCACUGAAGAAAAGUAUACUCAUAGUCCCCAUUCGUUGUUUCAUCAGAGUCCUUUUGAGCAAUCUUUCCUUCUUUUUUCUUUCAUUCACUUUCGUUAGUCUUGUGGCUGUUCUCCCUUUCUUUGUUUAGUCCUUCUCAUUUUUCUCAUACUGUUUAUUGAAAACUUUUCGUUUACUUCUUUCUUUUUCUUGUCAUUGUUCUCCUUUCAUUCUUCAAUUUUCAUUUUACCUUCAAUCCCUUUAUUCUUAGUUCAGGCAUUUAUUCCAGUAUAAUUCUUUAGUCAUUUGUUUAUUCAGUUUGUUCAUUCUUCAUUUUAUUUUCCUUCAACAUUUUGUUUUCUUCAGUCGAUGUUUUUUUUUCACUUUAGUAACUUUCUUUGGCAUUUUGCUUGCUUCUUCACCGUCUUCUAAUUAUUUAGUCAUCUUCUUGAGUUUUCAGUUUAUCUCUCCUUUUGUUUUUUCUCAUUUUUAUUAAUUAUUCAGUUUUUAUUGACUCUUUCAUUUAGCUUUUUCUCAAUUUCAUCAGUUUUCGUCCGUACUUUUAGGGUUCGGUGUCAUUUUGUUCAGUUCCGUGUUUAGUUUCAGUGUUAGGUGCCAUUUUCUUCAGUUCGGGUUAUCUUUUCGUUAGUAUCUAGAUUUUAAGCCCCUUUGUUUUUCUGUUUUUCUUAGUAAAUGUUCAGUCAAUCUUUACAUCAGUAAAAUCUGUUUCUUAGUCAUUAUUUUUUUCCUUCAAUAAGUUAUUUCAUUUUUUAGUUCUGAACUACUUUCAUUCUUCAGUCCAAGUUUUACAAUGACUCUAUUUCUAUAACUUCCUGUUCACUUUUCUUCAAAAGCAAACUAGAAUUCUGGGAUUUUUAGCUUAAGAGUUUGUUGAUAAAAAACAAGAAUAUGCAGAUGGCUGAUGGUAAAUAGUUUUUUUUCUUGGGAUUAGAGAGUUAUAUCUGCAGUCAGUGGUUUUGCAUCAGUAAUUUUCAGUGUUAUAAGGUGGCAUUUUCUUCAGUUUUUUGAGUUACCACAUAGGUAGGUUAGUUAUCUAGUUUAGCAUGUUUUCAGACAAUUUUCAUUUCUAUUUCCUUUUUAGUUUCGCAGCUUUCAAUUCUUCAUUUUCAGAUCAAAUAACGCGCUAGAAAUGGAUUGAAUGGGGUGUCACUGGCAUCCUAAGUCAAUAUUCAGUUUAUGAGUUAUCAAAUUGUGUUUUCAGUCUAUAUUCGUUUAGCAUUUCAGUACAAGACCGAUGACAGCGGUGUCACUUCCACUGGCUGUAGCAGCCAAGGAGGAGCUGCCUGUUGCCGGCGGGGCUCAAGCGGUGUUACUUUUUAGUGGCUGUAGCAGCAAAAACCAAAGCCCUAUAUAUUCUGAUGGCUAAACUGGUAAGUAUCUCAUCAACGAAAUACUUUAUCCACGUAUCUCGUCAUCAUGGUGCGUAUGUGUGUGUUUAAUAAUGUGAGGCUAAGGUCAACCAUCCACCUAAAUUUUUGGUACGCGUACAGCAUUUUAGUCUUUAUAGUGCACACUAAGUUUCUUUGUCAGUAAUUUGUCAAAAAAAAAAGUUUCUUUGUCAGUAACCAAUUAGCCAAGAGAAACAGACAUGCAAGGAGGGGAACGAGAGCAUGCAUGCAGCUAACAGUAAUUGUUAUUCUCUAUUUAUCAUUUUAGUUAUUUAGUUUUCAGUGUCAUUUGAUAAAAAAAUUUCUCGAAUACGCACGAGAGUGCGUAUUAUGCAUUAAAGAGGGAGUGGGGUAAAGAGCCCCUCCACGUUGGUGUUACAUGAUCAAAUUACAUGGAACCCAACUCCACACAAGAAACAUCUAAGCCUAUCCUCUCCCUGCAGCCCACGUUGUCAACUCUCCUAGGAAAGAGGCUAUGCCUCCUUUCAGCAGCCCCGCUUGCUUCCACGCCCGUCCCUCGUCAUCUAUCCUACCAAUUACAUGACAUAUCGAAGGUGUUGCUCCGUCCAAGACAAAUUGCGUUGCCGUGUUUCCAUAUCUCCCACAUUACAAGAGUGAGGACUGCCCGAAUGUCCUUCCCGCUGCGCCCGGACCCGGUCUUGCUCUCACACCAUGCGUGAAGUGCGUCGGACGGUGAUGGAAUCCAGUCCUGCUUGCCCAUGGCCUGGCAUAUGAUCGUCCAGAUCUGCCGGGUGAAUACACAGGUGAGAAGCAGACGGUUGAUUGUUUCCUCUCCUUGGUCACAUAACGGGCAUGCCUCCUGGUGAUCCAAUCCUCUGCGAGCUAGUUGAUCAGACGUCCAGCAUCGGUUGCGUAGGGCGAGCCAAAGGAAGAAGCGGCAUUGCAUGGGCGCCUUGGAUUUCCACGUAAAUUCCGCAGUUGGCGCAACUUCCCGGCUCCAGAACUUAGCCGCGUAGGCAGAUUUGGUCGAGAAGCAGCCGUUCGCCUCCCAAGCCCAGGAGACCGAGUCUUGUGCUCCCUCUUGAAGGGACUCGUCAUGGACUGCAGUCCAGAGGCCAAGGUAUUCUUGGAGCAGGGUCGGGGUGAGCUCCGGUCCAAUAUCACGUGCCCAACUUCCCUCCGAGAGAGCCUGAUGUACCGUUUGCGUUGCUCUUGUCUUGCUACGCACUUUCUUGCCCACGCGGGUGCACAGACCAAGUCCCAAGCCACCUUGCAUUGUCCUCCGUUAGCCCUAUCCUUGGCACACCAGAGGAAGUAAUUGCAUUAUCAGUAUGUGGUCGGUCAGUAUCCAAAAUUUAUUAGAGCUCGUUGGAAGUUUCUGAAGACAACGGUCAACAAAUUAUUUCGAGUUCAUGCAUGAGAUGCAUCCUAGAGUUCUUCAGUACUUCAUUCUUCCUGAGUAUUCGUUGAACAAAGAGAGAAGAUCAGUUUUCUUCUUUCUUCUUCAGUUAGUCUAUGUCCAUUCAUUCAGCCAUCAACUCUUCAGUUUCCAUUUAUGUGCUUUUUGUUGUCAGUCUUAGAUCAAGGUGGUGACUCGUGAGGGUUAUAGGAGUUUGUCAGUCUUGUCUGCCAUGUAUUUUUAUUCAUUUUUUACCAGAAAAAGUAUUUUCAUUCAUUUCAAAUUGCCACUGAUUUCCAGUUUGCCCCUCGGGGUUCAGUUAUUCUACGGAAGAUACAUAGUUCAGUUAUUCGACACUUUUGUGUUUCCAUAUGCCUAGUGUAGCUCUUUGAUAGUUCAUUUGGGAGUCAGCUUUCCUUUCUUCAUUUUCUCUAUGACCUGGCUAAGCUAUCAGUCAGUGGGCUAGAGUCUAGUUCUUAGUAGUCUUUCAUUCCUCCCUUCUUAGGGUUUGGCGCAGCGGUUCUGAUCACCAUCAAGAACAACACUCUGAAUGAACUGAAUAUGAUGAUUGUCUUCGACACCAUCUAAGUAGCAGAUUGUUCUUGUCUGUGUGGGACGGUAAUAGGCUUUUGCAAGGGCUGAGUGCAAACAUUUGCUUAAAGGUCUAAGACGGGAAGGUAGAAUUCGACAUGAAACUGGAUGGAAAACAGACUUUUUCCAGACUGAGCAUUGACUGAAAUUACAACAAUACAUGUGUCACAAACUGACUGGACAUAAAAAACGACCUAAAACCAAAUGGAAAAACACAUAACUGAUAACUAGACACUCCCAGGCCACUCUUUUCCUUGGCUCAUCUGUUCAAGACUGCCUCUACUCAAGUAGUUAAAUAUUCAAGCGUAUAAGUGUCUGACAAACAAAAAUAACAGAGUAUCUUCCAAAUCUUGUGCAGGAACAGAGGGACGGUUCAGCUAACGGCUUAGGCUAGUUUCACUGCCUAAAAAUGACACGAAAUCACGUACGCUUUCUUUGCGACACGAAAUCACGUACUGUAUUUAUAUGAUGUAAAUUCUUAGUUCUUAAGAACGAAAAUUAUAUACAUGAAGAGAAUCAACAAUAUAAAGUGGACAAAGAGGAAACAGAGCAAAAACAGUCUAUAAUAUUCUAUUCUACUACAUCAUGUUCUAGCAAUGGUUCCUGGAUCACUUGUACAGAUCAUCUUCAUCCUCAUCAGCUGCCGCGGUGGUGUCAGCAGCAGCUUCUGCCGCCUGUGGCUGCGCCGGGAAGCGGAACUCCAUGCCGAACCCCCUAGACUGCUGCAGCGUCUGCGCGAAGGCCUGGUACUUCCUGAUGUCGGCAUCGCUCACGCUCCUCCUCGCGUACUUCAUCGACUCCUCGAAGUGAGCCGCCUUAAUCUCUGCCAUCUCCUCAUCUUUCUGGCCGCCGUCCACAUCCAUGGUGUCUUUCCCCAUCCUCUGCCUCUCCAUGUCCUUUUCAAUGUCCUCCCUAAUGGCGUACUUGCACGCUCUCUGGCAGAUCUCCGUGAUGUCGGCACCGCUGAAGCUGGCGGUGAACCUUGCCAGCGCGCCGAGGUCAACGUCCUUGGCCACGGGAGACUUCCUGAGGCAGGCCUUGAAGAUCUGGUGCCGCGAGGCCUCAUCUGGCAAGGGGAUGUAGAUGAGCUGGUCCAGGCGGCCAGGACGGAGCAACGCCGAGUCAAUUAUGUCCGGCCUAUUUGUGGCGCCGAUGAUGAAGACCGUCUUCUUGGCGUUCAUGCCGUCAAUCUCGGUGAGAAGCUGGUUCAAGACCCUGUCCGCCGCGCCGCCGGCGUCGCCCAUCCUGCCGCCCCUCUGGGUUGCGAUGGAGUCGAGCUCGUCAAAGAACAGGACGCACGGCGCAGACUGACGCGCCUUGUCGAAGAUCUCGCGCACGUUGGCCUCGCUCUCGCCGAACCACAUGGUGAGAAGCUCUGGCCCCUUGAUGCUGAUGAAGUUGGCCUGGCACUCGUUGGCGAUCGCCUUCGCCAGCAAGGUCUUGCCGCAUCCUGGUGGCCCGUAAAAGAGGACGCCCUUGGACGGCGACAUGCCAAACUUCUCGAAUUUCUCCGGGUGCUCGACCGGGUACUGGACGGUCUCUUGCAGCUCCCUCUUGACGCCGUCGAGGCCGCCAAUAUCGGUCCAGCUGACGUUGGGCACCUCCACGACGGUUUCACGAAGCGCAGACGGGUUCGUGCCGACGAGAGCCGUUUUAAGGUGGUCAUUGGUGACGGCCAUGGAGUUCAAGAUCUCGGCAUCAAUGGUGUCGUCCUCUAAGUCGAUCACGUCCAUCUUCUCCCUGAUGCACUGCAGCGCCGCCUCGGUGCAGAGCGCGGCCAAGUCGGCGCCCACGUAGCCAUGUGUAUCCUUGGCAAUCAGCUCAAGGUUGACGUCCUCAUCCAGCUUCAUGCUCUUGGUGUGGAUGCGGAGCACUUCGAGACGCCCGACCUUGUCCGGCACGCCGAUGUCGAUCUCGCGAUCAAACCUUCCGAAGCGCCUCAAGGCAGGGUCGAUGCUGUUGGGACGGUUCGUCGCGCCCAUGACGAUGACGUGCGCGCGGGCCUUCAUGCCAUCCAUCAGUGUCAGCAGCUGGGAGACGAUGCGCCUCUCGACCUCGCCGUGAGUCUUCUCCCUGUUCGGAGCAAUGGAGUCGAUCUCGUCGAUGAAGAUGAUAGAGGGCGCAUUCUUCUCAGCCUCCUCGAAGGCCUUCCUCAGGUUGCUCUCGCUCUCUCCGGCCAUCUUCGACAUUAUCUCUGGCCCAUUGAUAAGGAAGAAGAAGGCCCCGGUCUCGUUGGCCACCGCACGGGCGAUCAACGUCUUGCCGGACCCUGGAGGGCCGUACAGGAGGAUGCCCUUGGGAGGCUUGACGCCAAUGCUCUUGAAGAUCUGCGGAUGCCUGAGUGGCAGCUCGACGAGCUCCCUGAUCAGAGUCAGUGGUUUCCCCAUGCCACCCACGUCAUCGUAGCCGACGUCGUCAAGCCUCUCCUCGUCCUCCCGCUUGACCGGCUCACCCUCGCAGAAUAUCUCCGUGUUGGGCGCCACGACGCAGUAGUCCACCGCGGGGUCGAUCUCCAUGACCUUGAACUCGACGCUCCGCAUGCCGCCGCGCACGAGGAAGAGGUCGCCCUUGUGGACCGGGCGGAAGGCGUCCACGAAGUAGGGCUUGAGGUAGGCGCCGAAGAGGUUGCCCGUGAUGCCCUCGACGGUGUCGUCCAGAGGGAGGAUGUGCACGCGCUUGCCGAACUUGGCGUCGUGGCACAGGUGCACGGACACGACGUCGGCGAUGCGCACACGCAGGUUGGAGCGGGCCACCUUGUUGAUCCUGAGCUUGUGCCCCUCGCAGGUGUCGUCGGCCAGUGCCAUGCAGACCGUGUUGUGGCGACGUUUGCCCUUGAGUAGCACGAUGUCGCCCUGGAAUAUGGAGAGCUUCUCCAUUGUGGCCGGGUGGAGGUUGCACACGGAGUUGUCGUCGUUGGUGGCGGCCUCCUCCACCACCAGCCGGUUCGCCGCCUUCUUUGACGUCGCCGCGCUCGCCAUCGCCUUCAACUCUCGUUGAUCGACUUGCUGCGUGGUCUCUCGUGUAUUACUACUCUCGUUGGAUGUUGUCGAGCGCUGAUUUGCGUUGGUGUUGUGGUGAGGUGAGGUGGAGACGUGGGGUUUGCACCCUUUAUUGAAGGCACGGCCGACUCCGGUUGGAAGGCCGUGAUCGUUCGCGUCAUAUUCGUACUCUUUGCCCGUGGUCCGUGCCGUAAUAGGACGCUAACUCUUUUCCUACUACCUUGGCACGAUCGGGUCGAAAGAACCCUUCGAACUCGGAAUAUUUGCACCUGGCUGCGCUAACAAUGGCGUGUCCGUGCUGGAGGAGACUGCGGUCGUUCGUGCGAUACGAGACGGACAGCACCGAGCCGCUCAGUCGCCGGCUGUCGGGUGCCAAGGAGGAGGCGGUCUCCGACGGCGAGGCACUCGGGGGACUCAUCGAGCGCGUGGCGUCCCUCCAGCGCGCCCUCGAGUCGGCGGUGCUGCAGCGUAACGUGGCCGUGGCACUGAUGCACGAGGCCCAGCGGCACGCGGAGGAGGCCGAGGCUGCGGUCGGGGCCGCUGCGAGGGCCGGCGAGCUUGCCGCGGCGGAAGUGCGCGAGAAGACGGAGCAGAGCGCGGCGACGGACGCGCGCAUCAGGGAGCUCGAGAGGGAGAUGCUAGUGCUACGUGAUGGCGAACAAUGGGCGCUGGAGGCCGCCGCCGCGGAGACGCGGGAGAAGGAGGGGGAGCCAUGCAUGGGAGGGGCGUGCGCGUCAGGAAGCUCGUGGAGGAGAUGCUACCUGAUGAGCAAUGGGUGGCAGACGUGAACGAUUCGUCCUGAGCUUUGCCAUUGCGGCAUCGACAUGUUUCGAUUUUUCUUCACACUAGAUGACUCGCCAAUGGCGCAAAGGCCGGUAGCAAGCCAAGUAUUUUAAGAGUGAUGAUAGAAAAACUCAGACACAGAUCUAAAUAAUGAGUACUUACUGCUUGUUAAUGUCUCUGUUCAUGAUUACUGUUUCUCCGAACAGUCUGUGCUAGAUGAUAGUGCUAUGUCCCUUGAGUGGAAGGUGGACGCUGCCAGGUAGGGCAUGCCCCUUCUUUGCUUAGCAUAUUUGCUGUUGUUGGUGAGUACUCGAUGUUUGAAACAGAGAAAGUAGUAAAAACAGAUAAUUAUAGAUAAGGGGGCAUUAUGCAUAUUAAUAGAUCGGUGAGGAACAACAACAGAGGUUAUAUAGGUAAAAGCAUAGGCUGUUCAAAAGCAACAGAUAGCAUUGUCGAAAAACAGAGGAAGGUUCCAUCCUAUUACAUAGCUUGUUUAGUAGUCCUUAGAAUGCUAGAUGAUAUUUAGAUACGACUUCCGAUGCUGUCGAUGGUUCAUCUAAAGACAAUGCAUGAUGAGAACCAGGCGCUGCUUUGUGGUGACCUUGAAACGAAAGGCACAUAUGUCUCCUUCAUGGAUUUUUGCAAGACGGCGGAACUCAGACCAGUUGGUUGUUACGAUGGCUCUCUUAUCGGUUCCUAGCAUGAUGCGACAAUUGGCGUGUAGAACACUGUUUGCAAGCCUGACCUUGAGCGCAUCAUAAUCUGGGUCAAUGUAAUCUUUUAGUUUGCUUUCAGUGUAGUUGACCUGAAAAUACUGAUGAGAAAAAAGGAAUUAAUUGAAUGGACUGGAGAGUGUCUUGUCACUCUUACACUGAGAAGGUUUAAAUAUGGAUAGUGAGAACAUUUAUCAGUAAAUAAUGGUAGGAAGCAAAAGAAGGAUGCAGAGCAUGCUACAUUCCUUCCUACGUGGAGUAUAAGAUGUAAAUUGGUUGUUUCUGUAUGUAUGGUACUCUAGUGAAGGAGAACAAUAGGAAGGAAGAAAACAUGUAUAUCAGACUGUAUGAAUAUUAGUUUCUAAAGUUAAAUGUAGAAAGUUGAUGAGAAUUGUUGUGCUGGUGCUAAUAGCAGUGUAUGCAGUUUUGUUGUUGUUAUUUUGCAAUAAAGUCAAUUUGGUGAAUCAAAAGCAUACUGCAGGUUGUACUUCUGAUGAUUAGUCAGGUAAGUAGUUUAGUUGCGAGGCAUAAGUAAAGAUAAUUCUUUUUUCAAUGAAGUGGAAGAAAGGAGUUCACCAUCCGUUGGCCUGGCUUUGUGAAUGUUUUGUUGAUGGUGCAGACAUAGUAUUUGAUAUCUGGUUUUUUGCGGCGGAACAUGGCAAGCAACUUGUUCACAUGGUGCUGAUAGAGCUUCACUUCAUUGCCCCAGUGACAGUACCUUUCGAGUUCUCCGCGGUAUUGGAUAGCAAGGGGUGGUCCUGAAUUUAGUUUCGUUUUGGUAAGAUCGAAAUGAAGCAGCACAUGUAAAAAGGCUGAAUACUAAUUAUUGUUAGGAGACUAAGCAUUCAUCAAGAGAAAAGUAAAAUUAAGCUUUAAACCUAUGGUACGAAGAAUAUAGUAAGCAAGAGAAUAUCAGAACAGGAUAAUAAGCAUUGUAGCCUAGCAUUGGCUCACCGCGAAUGAUAUACUCCAGAUGCUCAUAUUCUUCAUCCUGCAUAAGUAUCGUGAGAAUUGUUAGUGUGAAAAAUCAGAAACUUGUUUGCUGGCAGUAACAAUUGUGGGCGUACAAUUGAAUUAUGCACUUUAAAAGAGCAGUAAAAUGGCAUUUAAAAUAAAAUGACCUAAUAGUUUUUAUGAUCCGCUAUACUUCUCCGACGCCAAUUUUCUGCCUUAGAACGAAAAAAAAA